AGAGUUUGAUCCUGGCUCAGGAUGAACGCUGGCGGCGUGCCUAAUACAUGCAAGUCGAGCGAACGGACGAGAAGCUUGCUUCUCUGAUGUUAGCGGCGGACGGGUGAGUAACACGUGGAUAACCUACCUAUAAGACUGGGAUAACUUCGGGAAACCGGAGCUAAUACCGGAUAAUAUUUUGAACCGCAUGGUUCAAAAGUGAAAGACGGUCUUGCUGUCACUUAUAGAUGGAUCCGCGCUGCAUUAGCUAGUUGGUAAGGUAACGGCUUACCAAGGCAACGAUGCAUAGCCGACCUGAGAGGGUGAUCGGCCACACUGGAACUGAGACACGGUCCAGACUCCUACGGGAGGCAGCAGUAGGGAAUCUUCCGCAAUGGGCGAAAGCCUGACGGAGCAACGCCGCGUGAGUGAUGAAGGUCUUCGGAUCGUAAAACUCUGUUAUUAGGGAAGAACAUAUGUGUAAGUAACUGUGCACAUCUUGACGGUACCUAAUCAGAAAGCCACGGCUAACUACGUGCCAGCAGCCGCGGUAAUACGUAGGUGGCAAGCGUUAUCCGGAAUUAUUGGGCGUAAAGCGCGCGUAGGCGGUUUUUUAAGUCUGAUGUGAAAGCCCACGGCUCAACCGUGGAGGGUCAUUGGAAACUGGAAAACUUGAGUGCAGAAGAGGAAAGUGGAAUUCCAUGUGUAGCGGUGAAAUGCGCAGAGAUAUGGAGGAACACCAGUGGCGAAGGCGACUUUCUGGUCUGUAACUGACGCUGAUGUGCGAAAGCGUGGGGAUCAAACAGGAUUAGAUACCCUGGUAGUCCACGCCGUAAACGAUGAGUGCUAAGUGUUAGGGGGUUUCCGCCCCUUAGUGCUGCAGCUAACGCAUUAAGCACUCCGCCUGGGGAGUACGACCGCAAGGUUGAAACUCAAAGGAAUUGACGGGGACCCGCACAAGCGGUGGAGCAUGUGGUUUAAUUCGAAGCAACGCGAAGAACCUUACCAAAUCUUGACAUCCUUUGACAACUCUAGAGAUAGAGCCUUCCCCUUCGGGGGACAAAGUGACAGGUGGUGCAUGGUUGUCGUCAGCUCGUGUCGUGAGAUGUUGGGUUAAGUCCCGCAACGAGCGCAACCCUUAAGCUUAGUUGCCAUCAUUAAGUUGGGCACUCUAAGUUGACUGCCGGUGACAAACCGGAGGAAGGUGGGGAUGACGUCAAAUCAUCAUGCCCCUUAUGAUUUGGGCUACACACGUGCUACAAUGGACAAUACAAAGGGCAGCGAAACCGCGAGGUCAAGCAAAUCCCAUAAAGUUGUUCUCAGUUCGGAUUGUAGUCUGCAACUCGACUACAUGAAGCUGGAAUCGCUAGUAAUCGUAGAUCAGCAUGCUACGGUGAAUACGUUCCCGGGUCUUGUACACACCGCCCGUCACACCACGAGAGUUUGUAACACCCGAAGCCGGUGGAGUAACCUUUUAGGAGCUAGCCGUCGAAGGUGGGACAAAUGAUUGGGGUGAAGUCGUAACAAGGUAGCCGUAUCGGAAGGUGCGGUUGGAUCACCU
This 1540-nucleotide ribosomal RNA is filed under the name Staphylococcus aureus LAMC0047. RNAcentral describes it as "16S ribosomal RNA". It matches the Rfam family "Bacterial small subunit ribosomal RNA". Lineage: Bacteria; Bacillati; Bacillota; Bacilli; Caryophanales; Staphylococcaceae. The record is from RNAcentral.